GAGACCUCAGGUCAGGCGGGGCUACCCGCUGAACUUAAGCAUAUCAAUAAGCGGAGGAA
This 59-nucleotide ribosomal RNA is filed under the name Trifolium environmental sample. Its description in RNAcentral is "partial 28S ribosomal RNA". It matches the Rfam family "Eukaryotic large subunit ribosomal RNA", at positions 1 to 58 of the family's 3401-position model. The record is from RNAcentral. Lineage: Eukaryota; Viridiplantae; Streptophyta; Magnoliopsida; Fabales; Fabaceae.